Molecule: ribosomal RNA, 405 nt
Filed under: uncultured bacterium
Lineage: Bacteria
Description: bacterial SSU rRNA
Rfam family: Bacterial small subunit ribosomal RNA
Source: RNAcentral
UGGGGAAUAUUGCACAAUGGGCGGAAGCCUGAUGCAGCGACGCCGCGUGGGGGAUGACGGCCUUCGGGUUGUAAACCUCUUUCAGUGCAGAACAAGGCUCUUUGUGGGUUGAGGGUAUGCGCAGAAGAAGCGCCGGCUAACUACGUGCCAGCAGCCGCGGUAAUACGUAGGGCGCGAGCGUUGUCCGGAUCUAUUGGGCGUAAAGAGCUCGUAGGCGGUUUGUCGCGUCUGCUGUGAAAUCCUCUGGCUUAACUGGGGGCGUGCAGUGGGUACGGGCAGACUGGAGUGCGGUAGGGGGGACUGGAAUUCCUGGUGUAGCGGUGGAAUGCGCAGAUAUCAGGAGGAACACUGGUAGAGAAGGCGGGUCUCUGUGCCGUUACUGACGCUGAGGAGCGAAAGCAUGGG